Molecule: ribosomal RNA, 479 nt
Filed under: uncultured bacterium
Lineage: Bacteria
Description: partial 16S ribosomal RNA
Rfam family: Bacterial small subunit ribosomal RNA
Source: RNAcentral
GAUGAACGCUGGCGGCGUGCUUAACACAUGCAAGUCGAGCGAGAAGUUUUGAAAAGAUUCUUCGGAUGAAAUUUAAAAUGGAAAGCGGCGGACGGGUGAGUAACGCGUAGGCAACCUGCCCCAUACAAAGGGAUAGCAUUUGGAAACGAAUAUUAAUACCUUAUGAAACUUAACUAGUGCAUGCUAGGUAGGUCAAAGAUUUAUCGGUAUGGGAUGGGCCUGCGUCUGAUUAGCUAGUUGGUGAUGUAACGGCUCACCAAGGCGACGAUCAGUAGCCGACCUGAGAGGGUGAACGGCCACAUUGGAACUGAGACACGGUCCAAACUCCUACGGGAGGCAGCAGUGGGGAAUAUUGCACAAUGGGGGAAACCCUGAUGCAGCAACGCCGCGUGAACGAUGAAGGCCUUUGGGUCGUAAAGUUCUGUUCUAGGUGAUGAAAACUGACAGUAACCUAGGAGAAAGCCCCGGCUAACUCCGUG